This 1708-nucleotide long non-coding RNA is filed under the name Setaria italica (foxtail millet). RNAcentral describes it as "long non-coding RNA (SITA_LNC005734)". Lineage: Eukaryota; Viridiplantae; Streptophyta; Magnoliopsida; Poales; Poaceae. The record is from RNAcentral.
UUUUCCCCUUUCAACAGGCUAGACAGUGCUUCAUGGUAGAAAGAGAGACAAGUGACUGCUUUUUCGAUCUUCAUAAGGGUGGGAGGAUGAGGGUGGCUUCCUAACCUUGUAUCAAGAUCUUGACUUAUUUGCUUAAUCCAUGACCUGGUUGAUUCGUCAAGUCUGGCCUCUCCCAUCUUGUUCGUGGACAUUUCUCUUUUACUCUAUUUUUGGAUGAUUUUCUGAGGUUUUUUCGUUCAUCGGAUUUGAGUGCCUUUUGAGGCAGUUCUUUUUGGGGGAUUAUGUGCUAGUUCAUCCAUGAGUUUGCCUAUGAUAUUUCCCUAGCAUUUCCCUUGCUUAAAUCUCACGAAUUUGGUUUUUCCUCAAAAUUAGUUCCUCUCCUAGGGUUCGUCGUUUUCCUUCAAAUUGAAGUUGUUUCUCUAAUCUUUUGGAGUGCAGCUGCUUGGAUCUUUGUUUCCAUAACAAGAAAAGCUUGCGGUUUAAAUCUCUUCUGAAUCAGCUUCUUGUUUUAGUAGCCCGAUGGUGUUUUUGUGUUUUCCAUUCUUUGACUUGGACAGGUAACGCCCGAGAAGCUGGGAGUUCUCACCAUCAGGUAACACCUGAGAUACUUGUUUAUUUCAGUUUUGCAGUACGCUAAUGAUAGCUUGCACUGUCGGCCAGCUUUUGAUCUAAUCCUGAUUGAGCUUCUGUCUCUAGAAAUGUCCCUUUUGUAAUUAGCUUAGUUUAAAUUAUUUUCUUGUGUUUGAUCCUUUCAGUUGAGUAGCAGUAGCUUGCUGAAGAAGUCCUUCUCGUAGGGGUGAGUGUGCAUGCACGUACAUGAUCGUCUGCGUUUGUACUGUGUGAUUCGUAAAAAAAAAUAAUCCACCUACUAAUUACUAAUUAAGCAGACAUUCUAUCUUAUUCAAACUCCUUAUUAUGGUCACGCGCUCCUUAAACGCAAGUUUCUUUUGAAGCGCUAUGAUGUCAGCUGCCUCAUGUUCCUUCUUCUCAUCAUCAUCAUAUACAACAUCUAUCAAUAUUUGUUGACAUUCAUCAAUAUUUUUUAAAAAAAUCUAGAUUAAUUGUUACCAACAUUUCUUGAUGUUAGCCACAUUUUUAUAUGUACCAAUAUUUUUCUUUAACAUGUUUACACUCGUAAACAUUAUUGCUCAACAAUUUUUUACACGCACUAUUUUUUAAUUCACCAAUAAUUUUUUAAUAUUCACCAACUUUUUUACAUAAUAAAUAUUGAGAUAGUUCAUCUAAAAUGUUGAGAUAGUUGGUUAGACCGUUGUGAGUUAUUUAUUUGGCUACUGCUGGGUUAUGUGUAAUUAUCCAUCUAUCUUUCCAAUAGAUAGGAAAUCCCAUUGGAGUACUCGAUGCAGCAGAGAGAGAGCGGGCGCCUCAAUGGGCUGCGGCCUGCGGGAGUGCGGCUCGUGCCCAGCUGCUGCUGCUGCCUCCGGCUGGGGAAAAAAAGGCCAUCUUUCUAAUGGGCCGGGCUCUGCUCCGCCUUAGUACAGUAGAUGAUUGAUGAUGACAUGAAGAAACGUGGAUUCAGACAGAACCAUGCUAAUAAUGUAAAAUGGAACAGGAUCGUUUUCUUUGUCAGGGCCUCCCUGCUAUGCUAGCAUAUGAAACUGGCAACCUGCUGACGGCAGGUUGAUGCUAACGUAGACUGGAUCAUGUGGGAAUCAUCUUUAAUUCUUUUGUGGAAGGUGUCAACUCAGCG